GCUGGCGGCAUGCCUAACACAUGCAAGUCGAACGAGACCUUCGGGUCUAGUGGCGCACGGGUGCGUAACACGUGGGAAUUUGCCUCGGGGUAUGGAAUAACUCAGGGAAACUUGAGCUAAUACCAUAUAAUGUCUUCGGACCAAAGAUUUAUCGCCCUGAGAUAAGCCCGCGUAGGAUUAGCUAGUUGGUGGGGUAAAGGCUCACCAAGGCGACGAUCCUUAGCUGGUCUGAGAGGAUGAUCAGCCACACUGGGACUGAGACACGGCCCAGACUCCUACGGGAGGCAGCAGUGGGGAAUAUUGGACAAUGGGCGAAAGCCUGAUCCAGCAAUGCCGCGUGAGUGAUGAAGGCCUUCGGGUUGUAAAGCUCUUUACUCGGGACGAUAAUGACGGUACCGAGAGAAUAAGCCCCGGCUAACUCCGUG
Molecule: ribosomal RNA, 425 nt
Filed under: uncultured bacterium
Lineage: Bacteria
Description: bacterial SSU rRNA
Rfam family: Bacterial small subunit ribosomal RNA
Source: RNAcentral